AUAGGACCUCUGAGCUUUAAUCUCUGAUCUCCCCUUUCUUUCUUACAGUGAAGGCAUUAUAUACCUUCUCUUCAAGGCUGUCUUUUGAUCUAGGGAGGAAGUUGCACUGAACUUCAAGGGAGUCUCCCAGUUCUCUCCUUUCACUGGAACCUCACGCUCACUGAACAGUGAUUCCUUGGGAAGCAGGGACCAGAUUUUGUGUUUCCCCCUCUGCACUUGUGGACUACUAUGGACUACUAUGGACUACCAGCUGCUCGGCACACCAGAUGCCGCCGUCAGCAGGUGGACCCUGCAAUGGCCACGGCCCCAGAAUGGGUUGCACAGGCCGAGGCUGUGGAUGGAGGUGGAGGUGGGAGUGGAGAGGUAGAAACAGGUAAGGAGGAGGGCAGCCAAGGUGUUAGUGUUCCUAAUACUAACUCUUUCAUUGUUGUGUCGAGCGGGGCUGCUGGGAAUUGUUCCAUAAAU
This is a non-coding RNA of Delphinapterus leucas (beluga whale), 465 nucleotides long. The record is from RefSeq and is a predicted model, not a curated record. NCBI's taxonomy places the organism in Eukaryota, Metazoa, Chordata, Mammalia, Artiodactyla, Monodontidae.